AGAGUUUGAUCCUGGCUCAGGAUGAACGCUAGCGACAGGCUUAACACAUGCAAGUCGAGGGGCAGCGGUGGUGAAGGCUUGCCUUCACCAGCCGGCAACCGGCGCACGGGUGAGUAACACGUAUGCAACCUGCCUGCCACAGCCGGAUAAUCGGGAGAAAUCCCGUCUAAUACGGCAUAAUGCAUCGACGGGACAUCCUGUUGGUGCCAAAGGUUAAUUCCGGUGGCGGAUGGGCAUGCGUCGCAUUAGUUAGUUGGCGGUGUAACGGACCACCAAGACGACGAUGCGUAGGGGUUCUGAGAGGAAGGUCCCCCACACUGGUACUGAGACACGGACCAGACUCCUACGGGAGGCAGCAGUGAGGAAUAUUGGUCAAUGGGCGGGAGCCUGAACCAGCCAAGUCGCGUGAGGGAUGACGGCCCUAUGGGUUGUAAACCUCUUUUGCCGGGGAGCAAAGUGCCGCACGUGUGCGGUUUGGAGAGUACCCGGAGAAAAAGCAUCGGCUAACUCCGUGCCAGCAGCCGCGGU
This 528-nucleotide ribosomal RNA is filed under the name uncultured bacterium. RNAcentral's name for it is "bacterial SSU rRNA". It matches the Rfam family "Bacterial small subunit ribosomal RNA", at positions 8 to 521 of the family's 1533-position model. The record is from RNAcentral.